Long non-coding RNA from Centropristis striata (black sea bass), 274 nucleotides. RefSeq lists it as uncharacterized. The transcript has 4 exons. NCBI's taxonomy places the organism in Eukaryota, Metazoa, Chordata, Actinopteri, Perciformes, Serranidae. The record is from RefSeq and is a predicted model, not a curated record.
AGAUUGUAAUUUCAUCGCUGGAAGCAAAGAGGAUCUCACCUGGUGUUUGCUGACGACUAAGGACUGGUGAUCAUCUGAAGAGAAUAUAUUCUCUCUUGAAAAAGCUCCAUGAUGGGAGAACUACUGUACAAUCCAAGAUAACAGCAACAGCUGCCUCAGCACCAUGAUGGGAGAACUACUGUACAACCAAAGAUAACAGCAAAGACGGCCUACUCAGGUUUUCAAACUCAGCAGUCAGUGUCCAGCAGAGUGACAUCAUGGCUGCAGCAUCAGG